AACACAACAUGUACACCCCGAGGUGCUGUGGGACAAACAUGGACAAACCUGACCCAAAAUGACCCAAUCUACCCCUGUUUUUUAUCCCCCCAGCCACCAACCUGUGCUUUGCCGAGCGCAAUGUGUACACCCCGAGGUGCUGUGGGACAAACAUGGACAAACCUGACCCAAAAUGACCCAAACUGACCCAAUGUACCCCAAUUUUUAUCCCCCCAGCCACCAACCUGUGCUUUGCUGAGCGCAAUGUGUACACCCCGAGGUGCUGUGGGACAAACAUGGACAAAUCUGGACAAAUUGGUUGGAUGAAAAUGGACAAACCUGACCCAAAUCCAGACUGAUCCCUAUAUUUUUUGCCCCCCCAGCCACCAACCUGUGCUUUGCUGAACGCAACGUGUACACCCUGAGGUGCUGUGGGAUGAAAAUGGCCAAACCUGACCCAAAUCCAGACUGAUCCCUGGUUUUUUUGUCCCCCCAGCCACCAACCUGUGCUUUGCUGAGCGCAAUGUGUACACCCCUGAGGUGCUGUGGGACAAAAAUGGACAAAUAGGGACACAUGGGGACAAAUCUGGACAAAUUGGUUGGAUGAAAAUGGACAAACCUGACCCAAAAUGUCCCAAACUGACCCAAUCUAUCCCAAUUUCUGCCCCCCCAGCCACCAACCUGUGCUUUGCCGAGCGCAACGUGUACACCCCCGAGGUCCUGGCCGUGGCCCUGCAGCAGCUGCUGGAGCAGAGCCCCCUGCCCGUGCUGCUCAUGCGGACGGUGAUCCAGGCCCUGGCCUCGUACCCGCGCCUGGGCGGCUUCGUCAUGAACGUCCUGUCCCGGCUCAUCAUGAAACAGGUGAUGGGGAUGGCUGUCUGUCUGUCUGUCUGUGUGUCUGUCUGUGUGUCCAUGUGUCAUGAACGUGCUGUCCCGGCUCAUCAUGAAACAGGUGAUGGCUGGGUGUCUGUCUGUCUGUCUGUCUGUGUGUCUGUGUGUCAUGAAUGUGCUGUCCCGGCUCAUCAUGAAACAGGUGAUGGCUGGGUGUCUGUGUGUCUGUCUGUGUGUCUGUGUGUCCAUGUGUCAUGAACGUGCUGUCCCGGCUCAUCAUGAAACAGGUGAUGGCUGGCUGUCUGUCUGUCUGUCUGUCUGUGUGUCUGUGUGUCAUGAACGUGCUGUCCCGGCUCAUCAUGAAACAGGUGAUGACUGGGAUGGAUGGCUGUGUGUCUGUCUGUGUGUCUGUGUGUCCAUCUGUCAUGAACGUGCUGUCCCAACUCACCAUGAAGCAGGUCCUCCUGUCUGUCUGUCUGUCUGUCUGUGUGUCCAUCUGUGUGUCCAUCUGUCUGUCCUUCUCCCUGUCUGUCCACUUGUCUGUCCCCAUCUGUCCGUCUGUCUCUCUGUCUGUCCAUCAGUCCCCCUCCCCAAAGCCCCCCCGA
This 1415-nucleotide long non-coding RNA is filed under the name Manacus vitellinus (golden-collared manakin). RNAcentral's name for it is "lncRNA (ENSMVIG00005009544.1)". The record is from RNAcentral. Lineage: Eukaryota; Metazoa; Chordata; Aves; Passeriformes; Pipridae.